GACGAACGCUGGCGGCGUGCUUAACACAUGCAAGUCGAACGGACAGGCCCUGCUUUUGUUGGUUGCUCGUGUGGCGAACGGGUGAGUAACACGUGAGUAACCUGCCCCUGACUUUGGGAUAACUUCUGGAAACUGGGGCUCAUACCGGAUAUGAUCUCCUGCUGCAUGUUGUGGGUUGGAAAGUUUCGGCGGUUGUGGAUGGACUCGCGGCUUAUCCGCUUGUUUGUGGGGUAGUGGCUUACCAAGGCUUUGACGGGUAGCCGGCCUGAGAGGGUGACCGGCCACAUUGGGACUGAGGUACGGACCAGAAUGCUACGGGAGGCAGCAGUGGGGAGUAUUGCACAAUAGGCGGAAGCCAGAUGCAGAAACGCCGCGUGCGGGAUGACGGCCUUCGAGUUGUAAACCGAUUUGGAAUGUGACGAAGAGUGAGUGACGGUAAUGGGUAAGGAAGCACCGGCUAACUACGUG
This 468-nucleotide ribosomal RNA is filed under the name uncultured bacterium. Its description in RNAcentral is "partial 16S ribosomal RNA". It matches the Rfam family "Bacterial small subunit ribosomal RNA", at positions 28 to 507 of the family's 1533-position model. The record is from RNAcentral.